RNAcentral lists this long non-coding RNA (450 nucleotides) under Crocodylus porosus (Australian saltwater crocodile). Its description in RNAcentral is "lncRNA (ENSCPRG00005011353.1)". The record is from RNAcentral. Lineage: Eukaryota; Metazoa; Chordata; Crocodylia; Crocodylidae.
CUCAGGUCUGCACUCCCUGUUUUCUAAUCACAGGAAUAGCACAGGCUCUACAGCUAGCAAUUAUUCCAAAUGAAGAGAAGAAAUGGUUAAUGGAUCCUGCGUUUUAAAUCUAUAUUAUUAAUUCAAGGAAAGAAACAGCAUGUACUAUCUGAUGCCUAUGGAGUUUUGAUCUGGGAUUGAUGUCACACUGAAGCUGCUCCAAAGUAAUGUACUAGAAAAGUCCUUGGGUCCUCAGCUGGGUAACAGGGGCAGAGAUGUCUGUCCUGAUGCCAAAUAUUGUGGCAUUCUUGGAGUUUCACCCAGAACUGUAAGCUGCUGAGAGGCUGUGAAAAUCACCAUUCAUAGAACAUCCUCUGCUUCCUGAACCUCUUCACUCUUCUUCCACCUGGAGGAAGCCUGAAACUGGUAAGUCCAAAAUUGUUGAUUUUAAAUGAGGAAAAAUAUUAAGGG